UUGAACGCUGGCGGCAUGCCUUACACAUGCAAGUCGAACGGCAGCACGGGGGCAACCCUGGUGGCGAGUGGCGAACGGGUGAGUAAUGCAUCGGAACGUGCCCUGAAGUGGGGGAUAACGUAGCGAAAGUUACGCUAAUACCGCAUAUUCUGUGAGCAGGAAAGCAGGGGAUCGCAAGACCUUGCGCUUUAGGAGCGGCCGAUGUCGGAUUAGCUAGUUGGCGAGGUAAAGGCUCACCAAGGCAACGAUCCGUAGCGGGUCUGGGAGGAUGAUCCGCCACACUGGGACUGAGACACGGCCCAGACUCCUACGGGAGGCAGCAGUGGGGAAUUUUGGACAAUGGGCGCAAGCCUGAUCCAGCCAUGCCGCGUGAGUGAAGAAGGCCUUCGGGUUGUAAACUGCUUUUGUACGGAGCGAAAAGGCUCUCUCUAAUACAGGGGGCUCAUGACGGUACCGUAAGAAUAAGCACCGGCUAACUACGU
Molecule: ribosomal RNA, 482 nt
Filed under: uncultured bacterium
Lineage: Bacteria
Description: bacterial SSU rRNA
Rfam family: Bacterial small subunit ribosomal RNA
Source: RNAcentral